Molecule: unclassified non-coding RNA, 379 nt
Filed under: uncultured Gammaproteobacteria bacterium
Lineage: Bacteria; Pseudomonadati; Pseudomonadota; Gammaproteobacteria
Description: contains 16S-23S intergenic spacer region
Source: RNAcentral
UCCAGCUUAUCGCUGGCGGUCUCCUGAGAGUUGCGCCUUGCGGCAUGCCAACACAGGACAAGGGUUGCGCUCGUUGCGGGACUUAACCCAACAUCUCACGACACGAGCUGACGACAGCCAUGCAGCACCUGUGUGCCGGUUCUCUUUCGAGCACUCCCUGAUCUCUCAAGGAUUCCGGCCAUGUCAAGGGUAGGUAAGGUUUUUCGCGUUGCAUCGAAUUAAUCCACAUCAUCCACCGCUUGUGCGGGUCCCCGUCAAUUCCUUUGAGUUUUAAUCUUGCGACCGUACUCCCCAGGCGGUCUACUUCACGCGUUAGCUGCGUUACUAAGGGAUUUAACUCCCCCAACAACUAGUAGACAUAGUUUAGGGCGUGGACUAC